This 274-nucleotide ribosomal RNA is filed under the name uncultured bacterium. RNAcentral describes it as "partial 16S ribosomal RNA". It matches the Rfam family "Bacterial small subunit ribosomal RNA", at positions 523 to 796 of the family's 1533-position model. The record is from RNAcentral.
AGACGGAGGGUGCAAGCGUUGUUCGGAUUUACUGGGCGUAAAGGGCGUGUAGGCGGAUUUGCAAGCCGGGGGUGAAAGGCCUGGGCUCAACCCAGGACGGUCUUCCGGAACUGCAUCUCUUGAGAGAGUCAGAGGCAGGUGGAAUUCCAGGUGUAGAGGUGAAAUUCGUAGAUAUCUGGAGGAACACCGGCGGCGAAGGCGGCCUGCUGGGGCUCUUCUGACGCUGAGGCGCGAAAGCGUGGGUAGCAAACAGGAUUAGAAACCCCAGUAGUCC